AUUGAACGCUGGCGGAAUGCUUUACACAUGCAAGUCGAACGGCAGCACGGACUUCGGUCUGGUGGCGAGUGGCGAACGGGUGAGUAAUGCAUCGGAACGUGCCCAAUCGUGGGGGAUAACGUAGCGAAAGUUACGCUAAUACCGCAUACGAUCUAAGGAUGAAAGCGGGGGAUCGCAAGACCUCGCGCGAAUGGAGCGGCCGAUGUUAGAUUAGGUAGUUAGUGGGGUAAAGGCUCACCAAGCCGACGAUCUAUAGCUGGUCUGAGAGGAUGAUCAGCCACACUGGGACUGAGACACGGCCCAGACUCCUACGGGAGGCAGCAGCGGGGAAUUUUGGACAAUGGGCGCAAGCCUGAUCCAGCCAUUCCGCGUGCAGGAUGAAGGCCCUCGGGUUGUAAACUGCUUUUGUACAGAACGAAAAGCUCUGGGUUAAUACCCUGGGGUCAUGACGGUACUGUAAGAAUAAGCACCGGCUAACUACGUGCCAGCCGCCGCUGUAA
Molecule: ribosomal RNA, 500 nt
Filed under: uncultured bacterium
Lineage: Bacteria
Description: partial 16S ribosomal RNA
Rfam family: Bacterial small subunit ribosomal RNA
Source: RNAcentral